GUGGGGAAUAUUGGACAAUGGGCGAAAGCCUGAUCCAGCCAUGCCGCGUGUGUGAAGAAGGUCUUCGGAUUGUAAAGCACUUUAAGUUGGGAGGAAGGGCAUUAACCUAAUACGUUAGUGUUUUGACGUUACCAACAGAAUAAGCACCGGCUAACUUCGUGCCAGCAGCCGCGGUAAUACGAAGGGUGCAAGCGUUAAUCGGAAUUACUGGGCAUAAAGCGCGCGUAGGUGGUUCAGCAAGUUGAAGGUGAAAUCCCCGGGCUCAACCUGGGAACUGCCUCCAAAACUACUGAGCUAGAGUACGGUAGAGGGUAGUGGAAUUUCCUGUGUAGCGGUGAAAUGCGUAGAUAUAGGAAGGAACACCAGUGGCGAAGGCGACAACCUGGACUGAUACUGACACUGAGGUGCGAAAGCGUGGGGAGCAAACAGGAUUAGAUACCCCGGUAGUCC
RNAcentral lists this ribosomal RNA (450 nucleotides) under uncultured bacterium. Its description in RNAcentral is "partial 16S ribosomal RNA". It matches the Rfam family "Bacterial small subunit ribosomal RNA", at positions 354 to 796 of the family's 1533-position model. The record is from RNAcentral.